GUGGUAAUUCUAGAGCUAAUACAUGCAAACAGAGCUCCGACCGGAGACGGAAGGAGCGCUUUUAUUAGAUCAAAACCAAUCGGUGGCGGUUUCCGUCAUCGUACAACUUGGUGACUCUGAAUAACUUUACGCUGAUCGCACGGUCUUGCACCGGCGACGCAUCUUUCAAAUGUCUGCCUUAUCAACUGUCGAUGGUAGGUUCUGCGCCUACCAUGGUUGUAACGGGUAACGGGGAAUCAGGGUUCGAUUCCGGAGAGGGAGCCUGAGAAACGGCUACCACAUCCAAGGAAGGCAGCAGGCGCGCAAAUUACCCACUCCCGGCACGGGGAGGUAGUGACGAAAAAUAACGAUACGGGACUCAUCCGAGGCCCCGUAAUCGGAAUGAGUACACUCUAAACCCUUUAACGAGGAUCAAUUGGAGGGCAAGUCUGGUGCCAGCAGCCGCGGUAAUUCCAGCUCCAAUAGCGUAUAUUAAAGUUGUUGCGGUUAAAAAGCUCGUAGUCGAAUCUGUGUCCCGCGCCGCCGGUUCAUCGUUCGCGGUGUUAACUGGCGUGCCGCGGGACGUCCUGCCGGUGGGCUUAGCUCGCGAGGGCGGCCCAACUCAAUCCCGCCGCGGUGCUCUUCAUUGAGUGUCGAGGUGGGCCGGCACGUUUACUUUGAACAAAUUAGAGUGCUUAAAGCAGGCUAAAACUUUGCCUGAAUACUGUGUGCAUGGAAUNNNNGGAAUUGGCCCCCGGUUUUAUCCUGCCAGUUUUNNNNNNNNNNNUAAUGAUUCAUACAAACAGGAAGANNNNUUUGUAUGAGAAA
This 807-nucleotide ribosomal RNA is filed under the name Nolicima sp. COL655. RNAcentral describes it as "partial 18S ribosomal RNA". It matches the Rfam family "Eukaryotic small subunit ribosomal RNA", at positions 149 to 903 of the family's 1831-position model. Lineage: Eukaryota; Metazoa; Arthropoda; Insecta; Coleoptera; Tenebrionidae. The record is from RNAcentral.